CCUACGGGAGGCAGCAGUAGGGAAUCUUGGACAAUGGGCGAGAGCCUGAUGGAGCAACGCCGCGUGAGUGAAGAAGGUCUUCGGAUCGUAAAACCCUGUUGUUAGAGAAGAAAGUGCGUGAGAGUAACUGUUCACGUUUCGACGGUAUCUAACCAGAAAGCCACGGCUAACUACGUGCCCGCAGCCGCGGUAAUACGUAGGUGGCAAGCGUUAUCCGGAUUUAUUGGGCGUAAGGGGAAUGCAGGCGGUCUUUUAAGUCUGAUGUGAAAGCCUUCGGCUUAACCGGAGUAGUGCAUUGGAAACUGGGAGACUUGAGUGCAGAAGAGGAGGGUGGAAUUCCAUGUGUAGCGGUGAAAUGCGUAGAUAUAUGGAAGAACACCAGUGGCGAAAGCGGCUCUCUGGUCUGUAACUGACGCUGAGGUUCGAAAGCGUGGGUAGCAAACAGGAUUAGAUACCCCUGUAGUC
RNAcentral lists this ribosomal RNA (465 nucleotides) under uncultured bacterium. RNAcentral's name for it is "partial 16S ribosomal RNA". It matches the Rfam family "Bacterial small subunit ribosomal RNA", at positions 338 to 795 of the family's 1533-position model. The record is from RNAcentral.